GAAAAAUUUUGCCCCGGUGCUUCCCUCAUAACGGAGGGCGAAUUUAUCUUGAUGGAUGCUUUGUGCGAGCGGAGAGUUACACAUUCUACGACCAGUAUUUAGGUCCAGAGGAUAUGCAUAUAUGUGGAAACAGGACGAGAAAGGGUACAUUGUUCCAACAGAACGCUAGGCGAGCCAUUCAGCAAGCCGUUGUAAAUGCACCGACUAAUAAUGGCUAUGCACGUGCUCAAGUGUCAGGGCCAAGUCCUUCUAAUGCGACAGCUUAUGUUCUCGCUGAUUGCUGGAAGACGCUGAGCGCAAGCUCCUGUGCAGCGUGUUUGCAAAAUGCAUCUGAAUCCAUGUUGGGAUGCUUACCUUGGUCAGAAGGUAGAGCCUUUUACACCGGAUGCUUCAUGAGAUAUUCUGAUACAAAUUUUCUCAAUGCUACUUCUACCAGUAGUGGCUCGUCAUCAAGGGAUCACCACAUUGCAGGAAAAGUUGUAGUCAUUGUUGUUGUUAGCUCCGUUGUCGUUUUGGGAGUAGCUGUUUUUAUUGGUUUUGGUGUCUAGAAGAACAAACAAAUCCAGAAGAAGAGAAAAGGUAAAAUCUUGUAUCUUGUGAUUUACCCACAAGUAUACCGAAGACAACAUUCAGCGUUAUGGCCUACUCAUGCUUUUCCGAGGAAAUUUGAACUUAUUAGGUGCAGCUGAUGUUGAGAAAUUAGUGAAGACCCUUCAUAAAAACAACUUGAACUUCAAGUAUUCGACACUUGAAAAAGCCACGAGGUCAUUUGAGGAGGCCAACAAGCUCGGGCAAGGUGGAUUUGGCACGGUUUAUAAGGGUGUUUUGGCAGAUGGGAAAGAGAUCGCCGUCAAAAGGCUGUUCUUCAACAACAAACACAGAGCUGCAGAUUUCUGUAACGAGGUUAACAUAAUCAGUAGCAUCCAGCACAAAAAUUUGACACGGUUAUUGGGCUACAGCUGCUCAGGAACGGAAAGCCUACUUGUAUACGAGUUACUCCCUAACCAGAGUCUG
This 1014-nucleotide unclassified non-coding RNA is filed under the name Hevea brasiliensis (rubber tree). Lineage: Eukaryota; Viridiplantae; Streptophyta; Magnoliopsida; Malpighiales; Euphorbiaceae. The record is from RNAcentral.